ACCAGCUGGUGGGGAGGUUUCCUUUGGCUGCAGCCGCCUUCCCGAGCGGUCCCGAACCGUCCGGAACCGUGCUGCACUUUCUCUCGUCGUUCCUUCUGGUCCCGUCGACUACAGUCCUGGUGCCCCGGGCCGUGCGGGCUCUGCGGCUGUCUGAGAAGCAGAUGGAGACUGUCCCUUGGACGGCUCUGCGGGCCGUGCGGCAGACAACAACUGCUUCUGUCCCGCAGAACCCUGAUCCGCCACGCCUGAGGCCUCCCCUGUGUGCAGGGUUGGGGCCUGCUGGGUGAACCCACCAUGUGCAGAGGCAUCAUGGGAGUUCUCUCAGGAACAUUCUAGACCCCAGUGUCCCUGAGCAGCUUAAAGAUGAGACCACACUGGAACCCAGACGUCUGUUAUGACUACCUGCUGCUCCGUGGCGUCCUCCUCACUCCAAGAGUGCUGCCUUGAAUCUGGAGAUUGUUGGAGGAAGCCAGAGGGGAUGGAAGCACCAGCCCUUUCGGGGUGAGCUGGGUCCCAGCUGCCCUGGGGGGACCUCCUCAUGAUGAUGUCGGGGUUGAUCGUGGACGCUGGAGUGGCAUGGUGGAGAAGGACGUUGCCAUAUGAAGCAUUGCCAGACCUCCUUGCCCGGUUGCCUCAGCACAGCAUGGAAGGCCUUUUCCGUCUGUGUAUGCAGGCCCGAGGGAAAGCCCUGGCACUCUGGAAGCUUGAGGUCCAGAGCUAGAGACUUUAGCUGUUUCUGCCGCUCCCCCAGCAGCUGUCACCAAGCGCUGUUGACCAGGAAGACCAGUUCCCUUCCACCUGGGCCAUGUUGUCCAGCAGCCUCCACGUCUCCCCGCCUCCUCCCCCUGUAACUUUUUAGAACCAAGAGUUUCCUGCACAGUGCAUCCUUGUCCUCUCACCCACCCAAUAAAUUUUGAA
This is a long non-coding RNA of Neogale vison (American mink), 918 nucleotides long. RefSeq lists it as uncharacterized. NCBI's taxonomy places the organism in Eukaryota, Metazoa, Chordata, Mammalia, Carnivora, Mustelidae. The record is from RefSeq and is a predicted model, not a curated record. The transcript has 5 exons.